UCCAGACUCCUACGGGAGGCAGCAGUGGGGGAUAUUGCACAAUGGGGGGAACCCUGAUGCAGCGACGCCGCGUGGGUGAAGGAGCGUUUCGGCGCGUAAAGCCCUAUCGGCAGGGAAGAAGGAGGACGGUACCUGACUAAGAAGCCCCGGCUAACUACGUGCCAGCAGCCGCGGUAAUACGGAGGAUGCGAGCGUUAUCCGGAUUUAUUGGGUUUAAAGGGUGCGCAGGCGGAUUUUUAAGUCAGCGGUCAAAUCGUGGGGCUCAACCCCAUCCAGCCGUUGAAACUGGGGAUCUAGAGUGUGCGAGAGGUAUGCGGAAUGCGUGGUGUAGCGGUGAAAUGCAUAGAUAUCACGCAGAACCCCGAUUGCGAAGGCAGCGUACCGGCGCCGGACUGACGCUGAGGCACGAAAGCGUGGGUAUCGAACAGGAUUAGAUACCCGCGUA
This 445-nucleotide ribosomal RNA is filed under the name uncultured bacterium. RNAcentral describes it as "partial 16S ribosomal RNA". It matches the Rfam family "Bacterial small subunit ribosomal RNA", at positions 330 to 792 of the family's 1533-position model. The record is from RNAcentral.